This 657-nucleotide ribosomal RNA is filed under the name Triticum aestivum (bread wheat). Its description in RNAcentral is "partial small subunit ribosomal RNA". The record is from RNAcentral. Lineage: Eukaryota; Viridiplantae; Streptophyta; Magnoliopsida; Poales; Poaceae.
AUGUACUACUUUUUUAAAACGUUAGCUAAUAUCUUAACGCGGGAGUUUCUAGUGAUAAGAAACAAUCUUCCGUCUAGAUUAUUUUAUUAUAAUGAAAUGUUGGAUUACCACCAAAGGUUCUGGGAUGGUCAAAGUGGUGUAGAGAAAAUAGUCUGUGUGGAUUUGAGUCAUAGUAUCCGGUAUGUUUCUACGGAACGUCUAUGGAAUACCUUAAAGUGUCUACACAAUCUGGGUGUGAUUUCCCACAUCUUAAAGGAAUUUCUAUCUCUCCCGAUAUAUAAUGCUGCCACUAACCUCCAAAUUCCUCAUUCGAAUUGUAUACCAUUGAUAGGUGAAUUGAGCGACGUGCUCCUACAUCUCUUUUUUCAACAUCAAUUCGAUAGGGAGGUCCUGAGCCGGUAUGAAGGUGUUCUUUAUACAAGAUGGGACACCAAUGUCCUUCUAGCUUCAACACGCUAUGAUUCAUAUCAUCUUGAUCGUCCUCAAAUUGUGGACAUCUUAAGGCACGUAAAUCUAAGUGGAUUUAUUUCCGUGAUCGAACGUGGUGGCGGGGGCAUGCACGUGAACCCUGAGAAAUCUCAGAUAUUCCUCAGUGCAGAUGGUGAUGUUAGUAUCCCUCAACUAAGUGAAGGUGAGACUGACUAUGAUAGUGAAUGA